RNAcentral lists this long non-coding RNA (3245 nucleotides) under Triticum aestivum (bread wheat). RNAcentral's name for it is "long non-coding RNA (TAES_LNC003439)". The record is from RNAcentral. Lineage: Eukaryota; Viridiplantae; Streptophyta; Magnoliopsida; Poales; Poaceae.
AAAAAUAGAAAAAACUGAUCUGUUCCAUUGGAUGGGAGAUUGAUGGCUCAGAUUCGGGUGGGGCGGUCUGUGCGUGAAAUUUGCAAAAAAAAGUCCCUCCCUGAUAGUUAAUUUCGUCCCGAUGCCCCUCCUCAUUGACCCAAAUCCCGUGGAGGCAGCACACGAACCAAAUCUUCUCCGAGGGCGUCGGCGGUGGCCGUCGCGCAGAUCCCUAGUCCAAGUUGGGUGAGCACUCCUAGUAGAGGUGAUGAUCCUUCUCUCGAUGGCUCCUUGCCGUUUUGUGGCUAGCGGCUCAGUUUGAGGCAGACCAGAUCGGAGCUCAUCACCAACUAACCUCCGCCCCGCAGCUUCCGUCGUAGAUUCCCUUCUGAAGCUUCCAACAUCGGUGGGUUCUUUGCCUCCUCUCUCAAGUAACAACUAGCGCCCUCCUCCCCCUCGUCGGCGGCAAGCCGGUGGUGGUCUCCUCGGCUCCUUCCCCUCCAGUCCGUGCAACGAGGUGGUUCAUUUUCCUGGUAAAUACUAGAUGCUAACAUUUAUUUGCAAGUGAAUUUGUGCUACAUCCUAAUUUUACUAUCAAGUAGAUUUAUGUUGCAUCUCUCUAGUUCUAUUUUUUGUUCAUGUCAAAUCUUCUCAGUGAAUGAUGCAUAAUAACUUUGAUUUGAUGGUGUAUUGCUACUGUACUAGCGUUUUGGUACUCUAAUUUGGAAGUUUUGUUUCACUCAUAAGUAAUCUGGAGAAUCAAGUUGGAAGAUUGAAUGUAGUCAGCUAAUUUCAGCGUCUUGCAGUUUAGCAUAUAAUUCACAAAAAAUAUUAAUACUUGCAGUUCCGUAUACAAAGGAGCUGUUCAGGAUCCCUCCGCUCUGCAACUCCGCUGCGGAGCGGAGCGGGAUGUAGCUAUAUUUCGGCGAGCUGCUAGCAGGGUGCUCCGCGCGCUCUGCUCCGUAGCGAAGGAGCAGAGGGUUGCCGAACACAGUCAAAGUCAAUAGCAUGAAAACUUGGAAAGAAAGUAAAUUGAUUCUGCUAGGCAAAAAGUAAAAUGAAAUUUGUAUAAUUAUCAGCAUAUCAAAAUCCUGAUUCAUGUAUAUAUGAUUCAUCGUCGAAAUUGCUCCAGUUUAACAGAGAAUAAGAAGAAGUGUCCUAGAAUAUAUGAAUUAUGAUUCCCAAAGAUGGUGAUACCGAGGGUCAACAAUUUGUGCAUCGAAUACUAAGAGUCAACAAUAGGAAGUGUCCUAGUAUAUAUUCUGACACAUAGACUGUUGCCAUAGGUGGCGGGCUCCUCGGCUCCUUCCGAACCGACCUGUGUGACGUGGUGCAAAUCUACAAGGCAUCAACACGAUGGUUAAUUUCUCUGGUAAAUAGAUGCUAACUUGAUUUAGCUAGUACAUUUGUGCUCGAUCUUAAUUUUAUUAGCUAGUUGAUUUUUGCCGCAUCUCUACAGUUCUAUUUUCUUGUACUUGUUCAUGUCAAACCUGCUCAUGUGUGAAUGGUGCAUAUUAGUAACUUCAUUUCAUUAUGUAUUGCUACUGUUUGUGGUGGUUUGAAAGUCUAUUUUGCUUCUUCUGUUUCACUAUUAAGUACUCUGGAGAACCAAGUUGGUAGGUUCAUGAUAAUCUUCAAUUUAAAGUUUAGGACAUUUUACUGAAAAUAUUAGUUUAUGUGGUUGUUCCAUUUUAUUUCCCAUAUGCAUUCGUUGCAUUCAUUAUGGUCAAAUAGAGUUUUUGUUUAGAGAUUUAUUUGUAUAUACCAGUGCACACAAUAAUCCCAAAAACGCAACUUAUAUAGAAUCAUCAGUUGUACUUGGACCUGCAUUUCACAUUUUCCUGCGGCUUUGAGACCUUAUUAUGAGCUGUGAGUCACCAGAAAAGCAAGGUUCUUGCUUGUUGUUUGAAAGAUAGACGAUCUCGGGCUCCAUGAGCCGUGACAAUUGAUUUAUUGUUGUUAGUCUUCAAUGUAGGUUUUCACUAAGACAGAUUGAUCAUCAUAGAUUCUAUAACUCCUAACCAAUUGUUGACCACGAGUAUUCUAUGCACAAGUUGCAAACCGGAUAAGUACUAUUCCUUUUCUUGGCGAAACUAUAUAAGAACUGUUGUUGUAGGCUGUGCCUAUAGUGAUGAUGUUAUGGUAAGUGUAGAAAUGACUAUGUGAGGCGUAUAGAUUUGUUCAUGCUUCACAAUGUCAAGAAUAGAGAUUUUUAUAUGUCUAUUAUUAUACUAGGUACAUGGUUCGCUGGUUAUAUUAGGGAGUUGCUCUGCUAAAAUUGUUCUUGUCAAACUCAUGACCAGUUUUGAGUGAUUAAAAUGUCCAAUGGCUUCGAGGGCUUGACACGUCAUUUUAUCAUACGAUAUGUUUUUUUAUUUGUACAUACGAUAGGCAAUUUGAAAAUGCCAAGUUUUAUAAAGGAUGGAUUUCUAAUAGGAUAAUUAUGUAAAUAACUGUAUUCCCUAAUUCAGCCGGUUGUUGCGAAUCUCUAGAAUGCACUAGAGUGGUUUUUCCUGUACAAGUAUUAUUUAUAAAAAAAUUCAUUAUUAGUAAGUUAGGAUUAUCCACAAAACAUUUGGCUUGUCUGCCAAUUGCUGUAUAGAAACAUACUUUAGGUUGUCUUUUGUGAUGAAUGUGAUUUCUUCUCUAUUUUUCGUUCCGUGUGGUAUGUGCAACACACCGUCAGGUGGUCUUGUUGAUGCAUAUUUAUUUGCUCAGCUCAUGAUUACAAAGUUUUAAAGUGAAUGUAUGACACAUACAUGGAGUUGCACUAACUGAAUCGUACUUGUUACGUAUGAUCUAUCCCAGGACAAGAAGUUCGAUGAACAAGAAGCACUUCAUCUAGAGGCAACUAUUGUGUGUCAUCAAGAUAGCAACGUCGAUCUAGUUCUUAAUGGCAAUGCUUGCUCAGUGAUGAUUAUCAUAGUCCUUCAAACUUAGCAUAGCCCGCCAUGUACGAAAGUUGAAGCAAUUUUCUCUAGUAAUUCUUGUUGAUCUUGUCAGGUUAUUGAUAGCUCAAUAUGAAUGUCUUCUUGUGUUAUGCCCGGUAUGUUCCAGUUUGACAUGUACUAAAAAAUGUGCCGUGGAUAGACCAGUUUGACAUGCAGUCAAGCAUUAUGUGCCUAGAAUGGUCCAUUUUAACGUAUACCCAAUUUUCUGUUCCUGAGAUGCUUCAGCUUAAACGUACUCACAUAUUAGUGCCUGUGAGCUGUGAUACUCCAGUUUGUCUGGCUGGUUUAACUUUGUCAUUUACUCAAAUAUCUUUG